This 28-nucleotide non-coding RNA is filed under the name Homo sapiens (human). The record is from RNAcentral. Lineage: Eukaryota; Metazoa; Chordata; Mammalia; Primates; Hominidae.
UGAUGUGCAUGGCGGACACCUGUGCAGA